This 1565-nucleotide ribosomal RNA is filed under the name Grammomys surdaster. RNAcentral describes it as "16S ribosomal RNA". It matches the Rfam family "Bacterial large subunit ribosomal RNA". The record is from RNAcentral. Lineage: Eukaryota; Metazoa; Chordata; Mammalia; Rodentia; Muridae.
ACUAAUUCUAGCCCCGCCUAACACAAACAAAACUACCCAUAAAAUAAACUAAAACAUUAUAUACAAUAAAAGUAUUAGAGAAAGAAAUUAUACUCAGGAGCUAUAGAACAAGUACCGCAAGGGAAAGAUGAAAGACAAACAAAAAGUAUAAAUAAGCAAAGAUUAAACCUUGUACCUUUUGCAUAAUGAAUUAACUAGAAAACCUCUAACUAAAUGAAUUAAAGCUAGAAACCCCGAAACCAAACGAGCUACCUAAAAACAACUUCACGAGUAAACCCGUCUAUGUAGCAAAAUAGUGGGAUGAUUUUCAGGUAGAGGUGAAAAGCCUAUCGAGCUUGGUGAUAGCUGGUUACCCAAAAAUGAAUUUUAGUUCGACUUUAAGCUUACCAUAAGAAUAUAAAUCUACAUGUAAGCUUAAAUUAUAGCCAAAAGAGGGACAGCUCUUUGGGCAACGGAAAAAACCUUCAAUAGUGAAUAAAUAUAAAAAUACACACUUAUCCAUUGUCGGCCUAAAAGCAGCCACCAAUAAAGAAAGCGUUCAAGCUCAACAUAAGAAACAAAUCAAUCCGAAUAUUAUUAAUUAAUUCCUAUAUUCAAUAUUGGGUUAAUCUAUAACAUAAUAGAUGAGAUACUGUUAAUAUGAGUAACAAGAACCUAUUCUCCAAGCACAUGUUUAUAACAACUCGGAUAACCAUUGUUAGUUAUAGGAUAUUAGACAACAAACACAACUAAACCAUCUAAACUUCAACCGUUAACCCAACACAGGAGUGCUUUAAGGAAAGAUUAAAAAGAAUAAAAGGAACUCGGCAAACAUGAAUCCCGCCUGUUUACCAAAAACAUCACCUCUAGCAUUACAAGUAUUAGAGGCAUUGCCUGCCCAGUGACUUCCAAGUUAAACGGCCGCGGUAUUCUGACCGUGCAAAGGUAGCAUAAUCAUUUGUUCCCCAAUUAGGGACUAGUAUGAAUGGCUAGACGAGGAUUCAACUGUCUCUUAUUCCCAAUCAGUGAAAUUGACCUUCCAGUGAAGAGGCUGGAAUAAAACAAUAAGACGAGAAGACCCUAUGGAGCUUUAAUUAACUAGCCUAAUUAUAAUAAUCAAACCCUAAUGGAACAAAACCAUAAACAUUAAGCUAACAAUUUUGGUUGGGGUGACCUCGGAGAACAAAAAAUCCUCCGAAUGAUUAUAGCACAGACAAACAAGUCAAAGCAAUCCGCUAUAUCUAAUUGACCCAAAAUACUUUGACCAACGGACCAAGUUACCCUAGGGAUAACAGCGCAAUCCUAUUUAAGAGUCCAUAUCGACAAUUAGGGUUUACGACCUCGAUGUUGGAUCAGGACACCCCAAUGGUGCAGAAGCUAUUAAAGGUUCGUUUGUUCAACGAUUAAAGUCCUACGUGAUCUGAGUUCAGACCGGAGUAAUCCAGGUCGGUUUCUAUCUAUUCACAAUUUCUCCCAGUACGAAAGGACAAGAGAAAUAGAGCCAACUCACAAAUGAGCGCCCUCAAACCAAUAUAUGAAAAGAUCUUAAUAUAGUAAAUAUGUAAAACUAUAUAUCCAGACAAGAU